RNAcentral lists this ribosomal RNA (776 nucleotides) under Segatella copri. RNAcentral's name for it is "partial 23S ribosomal RNA". It matches the Rfam family "Bacterial large subunit ribosomal RNA", at positions 1 to 781 of the family's 2925-position model. The record is from RNAcentral. Lineage: Bacteria; Pseudomonadati; Bacteroidota; Bacteroidia; Bacteroidales; Prevotellaceae.
UAAAGAAAGUAAGAAAGGGCGUAUGGCGGAUGCCUAGGCUCACGGAGGCGAUGAAGGACGUGAUAAGCUGCGAUAAGCUUCGGGUAGGUGCAAAUAACCCUUGAUCCGAAGAUUUCCGAAUGGGACAACCUAGCCGUCUGAAGGACGGUUACUCUUAUCAAUGUAAGAGAGCUAACGCAGGGAACUGAAACAUCUUAGUACCUGCAGGAAGAGAAAAUAAACAAUGAUUCCCCCAGUAGUGGCGAGCGAACGGGGAACAGCCCAAACCGUUGACGUCGCAAGGCGCCAGCGGGGUUGUAGGACCGCGACAUUGUAUGCAAAUCGUGAACAGAACACUUUGGAAAAUGUGACCAUAGAUGGUGAUAGUCCAGUAUGUGAAGCGAAAUGCAGCAUAGCGGUAUCCUGAGUAACGCGGGACACGAGGAAUCCUGCGCGAAUCUGCCGGGACCAUCCGGUAAGGCUAAAUACUCCCGUGAGACCGAUAGCGAACGAGUACUGUGAAGGAAAGGUGAAAAGAACCCCGAGCAGGGGAGUGAAAUAGUUCCUGAAACCAUACGCCUACAAGCGGUCGGAGCAUCUUGCGAUGUGACGGCGUGCCUUUUGCAUAAUGAUCCUACGAGUUACCGUCACUGGCGAGGUUGAGUGUCACGAGACACGUAGCCGCAGUGAAAGCGAGCCUGAACAGGGCGCACAGUCAGUGGGGGUAGACGCGAAACCAAGUGAUCUACACUUGGCCAGGAUGAAGUCCCGGUAACACGGGAUGGAGGUCCGCACCA